UUAAGCGACUAAGCGUACACGGUGGAUGCCCUGGCAGUCAGAGGCGAUGAAGGACGUGCUAAUCUGCGAAAAGCGUCGGUAAGGUGAUAUGAACCGUUAUAACCGGCGAUGUCCGAAUGGGGAAACCCAGUGCAAUUCGUUGCACUAUCGUUAACUGAAUACAUAGGUUAACGAGGCGAACCGGGGGAACUGAAACAUCUAAGUACCCCGAGGAAAAGAAAUCAACCGAGAUUCCCCCAGUAGCGGCGAGCGAACGGGGAGCAGCCCAGAGUCUGAAUCAGCUUGUGUGUUAGUGGAACGGUCUGGAAAGUCCGACGGUACAGGGUGAUAGUCCCGUACACCAAAAUGCACAGGUUGUGAACUCGAAGAGUAGGGCGGGACACGUGGUAUCCUGUCUGAAUAUGGGGGGACCAUCCUCCAAGGCUAAAUACUCCUGACUGACCGAUAGUGAACCAGUACCGUGAGGGAAAGGCGAAAAGAACCCCGGCGAGGGGAGUGAAAAAGAACCUGAAACCGUGUACGUACAAGCAGUGGGAGCACCUUCGGGUGUGACUGCGUACCUUUUGUAUAAUGGGUCAGCGACUUAUAUUCUGUAGCAAGGUUAACCGUAUAGGGGAGCCGCAGGGAAACCGAGUCUUAACUGGGCGUUAAGUUGCAGGGUAUAGACCCGAAACCCGGUGAUCUAGCCAUGGGCAGGUUGAAGGUUGGGUAACACUAACUGGAGGACCGAACCGACUAAUGUUGAAAAAUUAGCGGAUGACUUGUGGCUGGGGGUGAAAGGCCAAUCAAACCGGGAGAUAGCUGGUUCUCCCCGAAAGCUAUUUAGGUAGCGCCUCGUGAACUCAUCUUCGGGGGUAGAGCACUGUUUCGGCUAGGGGGUCAUCCCGACUUACCAACCCGAUGCAAACUACGAAUACCGAAGAAUGUUAUCACGGGAGACACACGGCGGGUGCUAACGUCCGUCGUGAAGAGGGAAACAACCCAGACCGCCAGCUAAGGUCCCAAAGUCAUGGUUAAGUGGGAAACGAUGUGGGAAGGCACAGACAGCCAGGAUGUUGGCUUAGAAGCAGCCAUCAUUUAAAGAAAGCGUAAUAGCUCACUGGUCGAGUCGGCCUGCGCGGAAGAUGUAACGGGGCUAAACCAUGCACCGAAGCUGCGGCAGCGACACUAUGUGUUGUUGGGUAGGGGAGCGUUCUGUAAGCCUGCGAAGGUGGCCUGUGAGGGUUGCUGGAGGUAUCAGAAGUGCGAAUGCUGACAUAAGUAACGAUAAAGCGGGUGAAAAGCCCGCUCGCCGGAAGACCAAGGGUUCCUGUCCAACGUUAAUCGGGGCAGGGUGAGUCGACCCCUAAGGCGAGGCCGAAAGGCGUAGUCGAUGGGAAACAGGUUAAUAUUCCUGUACUUGGUGUUACUGCGAAGGGGGGACGGAGAAGGCUAUGUUAGCCGGGCGACGGUUGUCCCGGUUUAAGCAUGUAGGCUGGUUAUCCAGGCAAAUCCGGAUAAUCAAGGCUGAGGUGUGAUGACGAGGCACUACGGUGCUGAAGUAACAAAUGCCCUGCUUCCAGGAAAAGCCUCUAAGCAUCAGGUAACAUCAAAUCGUACCCCAAACCGACACAGGUGGUCAGGUAGAGAAUACCAAGGCGCUUGAGAGAACUCGGGUGAAGGAACUAGGCAAAAUGGUGCCGUAACUUCGGGAGAAGGCACGCUGGUGUGUAGGUGAAGCCCCUGCGGGUGGAGCUGAGACCAGUCGAAGAUACCAGCUGGCUGCAACUGUUUAUUAAAAACACAGCACUGUGCAAACACGAAAGUGGACGUAUACGGUGUGACGCCUGCCCGGUGCCGGAAGGUUAAUUGAUGGGGUUAUCCGUAAGGAGAAGCUCUUGAUCGAAGCCCCGGUAAACGGCGGCCGUAACUAUAACGGUCCUAAGGUAGCGAAAUUCCUUGUCGGGUAAGUUCCGACCUGCACGAAUGGCGUAAUGAUGGCCAGGCUGUCUCCACCCGAGACUCAGUGAAAUUGAACUCGCUGUGAAGAUGCAGUGUACCCGCGGCAAGACGGAAAGACCCCGUGAACCUUUACUAUAGCUUGACACUGAACAUUGAGCCUUGAUGUGUAGGAUAGGUGGGAGGCUUUGAAGCGUGGACGCCAGUCUGCGUGGAGCCAACCUUGAAAUACCACCCUUUAAUGUUUGAUGUUCUAACGUUGGCCCCUUAUCGGGGUUGCGGACAGUGUCUGGUGGGUAGUUUGACUGGGGCGGUCUCCUCCCAAAGCGUAACGGAGGAGCACGAAGGUUAGCUAAUCCUGGUCGGACAUCAGGAGGUUAGUGCAAUGGCAUAAGCUAGCUUGACUGCGAGCGUGACGGCGCGAGCAGGUGCGAAAGCAGGUCAUAGUGAUCCGGUGGUUCUGAAUGGAAGGGCCAUCGCUCAACGGAUAAAAGGUACUCCGGGGAUAACAGGCUGAUACCGCCCAAGAGUUCAUAUCGACGGCGGUGUUUGGCACCUCGAUGUCGGCUCAUCACAUCCUGGGGCUGAAGUAGGUCCCAAGGGUAUGGCUGUUCGCCAUUUAAAGUGGUACGCGAGCUGGGUUUAGAACGUCGUGAGACAGUUCGGUCCCUAUCUGCCGUGGGCGCUGGAGAAUUGAGGGGGGCUGCUCCUAGUACGAGAGGACCGGAGUGGACGCAUCACUGGUGUUCGGGUUGUCAUGCCAAUGGCACUGCCCGGUAGCUAAAUGCGGAAGAGAUAAGUGCUGAAAGCAUCUAAGCACGAAACUUGCCCCGAGAUGAGUUCUCCCUGAGACUUUAAGUCUCCUGAAGGAACGUUAAAGACGAUGACGUUGAUAGGCCGGGUGUGUAAGCGCAGCGAUGCGUUGAGCUAACCGGUACUAAUGAACCGUGAGGCUUAACCUU
This 2900-nucleotide ribosomal RNA is filed under the name Klebsiella quasipneumoniae. RNAcentral's name for it is "23S ribosomal RNA". It matches the Rfam family "Bacterial large subunit ribosomal RNA". The record is from RNAcentral. Lineage: Bacteria; Pseudomonadati; Pseudomonadota; Gammaproteobacteria; Enterobacterales; Enterobacteriaceae.